RNAcentral lists this small RNA (165 nucleotides) under Pongo abelii (Sumatran orangutan). RNAcentral's name for it is "processed transcript". Lineage: Eukaryota; Metazoa; Chordata; Mammalia; Primates; Hominidae. The record is from RNAcentral.
GAGCAGUUUACGGAAGUGUAACGUUGAGGCCCUCCUUGUGGAUCUGGAGAAAAUAGAGGGGAACCCCUAUCAGAAAGACUGCUGUCACAUUUUAAUGCCUCUCUAGACCUGAUAACUUGAAGGGAGUCACAUUCCUCAGAUAAAAGAUUCAUUUCUUUCUCAUUU